RNAcentral lists this ribosomal RNA (845 nucleotides) under uncultured bacterium. RNAcentral describes it as "bacterial SSU rRNA". It matches the Rfam family "Bacterial small subunit ribosomal RNA", at positions 34 to 893 of the family's 1533-position model. The record is from RNAcentral.
CGCUGGCGGCGUGCCUUAUGCAUGCAAGUCGAACGGUCUCUAGUGCCGCAAGGUGCUGGAGCAGUGGCGAACGGCUGAGUAAUACAUAAGUAACCUACCCUCGAGUGGGGAAUAACCCGCCGAAAGGCGGACUAAUACCGCAUAGCCUGUCUUCACAACAGUGGGGUCAGCAAAGGUGUAAAUCGCUUGAGGAGGGGCUUGUGUCCUAUCAGGUAGUUGGUGAGGUAACGGCCCACCAAGCCUAAGACGGGUAGCUGGUCUGAGAGGAUGUACAGCCAGAUGGGGACUGAGAUACGGCCCCAACUCCUACGGGAGGCAGCAGCAGGGAAUAUUGCGCAAUGGGCGAAAGCCUGACGCAGCGACGCCGCGUGAGGGAUGAAGGCCUUAGGGUCGUAAACCUCUUUUUAUGGGGACGAGCAAGGACGGUACCUGUAGAAUAAGCCCCGGCUAACUACGUGCCAGCAGCCGCGGUAAUACGUAGGGGGCAAGCGUUAUCCGGAUUUACUGGGCGUAAAGGGCUUGUAGGUGGCUUCAAAAGUCUUUUGUGAAAUCUUUUCGCUUAACGAAGAGAGGCCAGAAGAUACUCUGAGGCUUGAGGGGAGCAGAGGAGAAUGGAAUUCCCGGUGUAGUGGUGAAAUGCGUAGAUAUCGGGAGGAACACCAGUGGCGAAAGCGGUUCUCUGGGCUCAACCUGACACUGAGGAGCGAAAGCGUGGGGAGCAAACCGGAUCAGAUACCCGGGUAGUCCACGCCAUAAACGAUGGGUGCUGGGUAUGGGGGGUAUCGACCCCCUCCGUGCCGAAGCUAACGCGUUAAGCACCCCGCCUGGGAACUACGACCGCAAGG